UACGUAGGGGGCAAGCGUUAUCCGGAAUUACUGGGUGUAAAGGGUGAGUAGGCGGCAUGGUAAGCCAGAUGUGAAAGCCUUGGGCUUAACCCGAGGAUUGCAUUUGGAACUAUCAAGCUAGAGUACAGGAGAGGAAAGCGGAAUUCCAUGUGUAGCGGUGAAAUGCGUAGAUAUAUGGAGGAACACCGGUGGCGAAAGCGGCUCUCUGGCCUGUAACUGACACUGAGGCUCGAAAGCGUGGGGAGCAAACAGG
RNAcentral lists this ribosomal RNA (253 nucleotides) under uncultured bacterium. RNAcentral's name for it is "partial 16S ribosomal RNA". It matches the Rfam family "Bacterial small subunit ribosomal RNA", at positions 524 to 776 of the family's 1533-position model. The record is from RNAcentral.